RNAcentral lists this ribosomal RNA (1470 nucleotides) under archaeon. RNAcentral describes it as "bacterial SSU rRNA". It matches the Rfam family "Archaeal small subunit ribosomal RNA". The record is from RNAcentral.
AUCCCCGUUGAUCCUGCGGGAGAUUGCUGCUAUGGGAAUUCGAUUAAGCCAUGCAAGUCAGAGGGUUCUUCGGAACACAGGCUGAAUGCUCAGUAACACGUCAAUAAUCUGCCCUUAAGUUCGGCAUAACCUCGGGAAACUGAGGCUAAAACCGGAUAGGUAAUCGAUACUGGAAUGUUCUUUUACUCAAAGGUAACGCUUAAGGAUGAGUUGGCGGCUGAUUAGCUUGUUGGUAGUGUAAAGGACUACCAAGGCUUUGAUCAGUACGGGCCGUGAGAGCGGGAGCCCGGAGAAGGGUACUUAGACACUGACCCUAGCCCUACGGGGUGCAGCAGGCGCGAAACCUUUACAAUGUACGUAAGUGCGAUAAGGGGAAUCCCAGUGCUCAUGCUAAGCAUGGGCUUUUGCCAAGUGUAAAUAGCUUGGCGAAUAAGUGGUGGGUAAGACGGGUGCCAGCCGCCGCGGUAACACCUGCGCCACAAGUGGCAAUCGCGUUUAUUUGGCCUAAAGCGUUCGUAGCCGGAUGAGACAGUCUUGAGUGAAAUCGUUGCGCUUAACAAAACGGCGUGCUUGAGAUACUACUUGUCUAGGGACCGGGAGGAGUUAGGGGUAUUCCUGAGGGAGCGGUAAAAUGUUAUAAUCUCAGGAGGACCACCUGUGGCGAAGGCGCCUAACUAGAACGGAUCCGACGGUGAGGAACGAAAGCUAGGGGAGCAAACCGGAUUAGAUACCCGAGUAGUCCUAGCCGUAAACGCUGUGUACUAGAUGUUGCAUAUUCUACGAGGAUGUGCAGUGUCGGAGCGAAGGCAUUAAGUACACCGCCUGGGAAGUACGGUCGCAAGGCUGAAACUUAAAGGAAUUGGCGGGGGAGCACUACAAGGGGUGCGGCGUGCGGUUUAAUCUAACUCUACGCAGAGAAUCUCACCAGCAGCGACGGCAGAAUGAAGGUCAGGUUAAAUGUCUUACCUAACGAGCCGAGAGGUAUUGCAUGGCCGUCGUCAGCUCGUGCCGUAAGGUGUCCUCUUAAGUGAGGUAACGAGCGAGACCCAUAUCCAUAGUUGCUAACGGACUCUUUUGAGGGACCGAGCACCCUAUGGGGACUGCCUUGGAAACGAGGAGGAAGGUGUGGGCUACGAUAGGUCUGUAUGGUCCGAAUCUGCUGGGCUACACGCGCGCAACAAUGGCAAGGACAAUGGGCUGCAACACCGAAAGGUGAAGCUAAACCUCGAAACCUUGUCUUAGUUUAGAUUGAGGAUUGUAAUUCAUCCUCAUGACAACGGAAUCCCUAGUAAUCGGACUUCAUCACGGUCCGGUGAAUAUGUCCCUGCUCCUUGCACACACCGCCCGUCAAACCAACCGAAUUGGGCUUGGGUGAGAUGUAGCUUUUAGUUAUCUCGAACCUAGGUUCGGUGAGGUGGGUUAAGUCGUCACAAGGUAGCCGUAGGGGAACCUACGGCUGGAUCACCUCCU